AACGAACGCUGGCGGCAUGCCUAACACAUGCAAGUCGAACGAGAUCUUCGGGUCUAGUGGCGCACGGGUGCGUAACGCGUGGGAAUCUGCCCCUUGGUUCGGAAUAACAGUUGGAAACGACUGCUAAUACCGGAUGAUGACGAAAGUCCAAAGAUUUAUCGCCAGAGGAUGAGCCCGCGUAGGAUUAGCUAGUUGGUGUGGUAAAGGCGCACCAAGGCGACGAUCCUUAGCUGGUCUGAGAGGAUGAUCAGCCACACUGGGACUGAGACACGGCCCAGAGUACUACGGGAGGCAGCAUUGGGGAAUAAUGGACAAUGGGCGAAAGCGUGAUCCAGCAAUGCUGCGUGAGUGAUGAAGGCCUUAGGGUUGUAAAGCUCUUUUACCCGGGAUGAUAAUGACAGUACCGGGAGAAUAAGCUCCGGCUAACUCCGUGCCAGCCGCCGCCGUAA
RNAcentral lists this ribosomal RNA (449 nucleotides) under uncultured bacterium. RNAcentral describes it as "partial 16S ribosomal RNA". It matches the Rfam family "Bacterial small subunit ribosomal RNA", at positions 29 to 523 of the family's 1533-position model. The record is from RNAcentral.